RNAcentral lists this ribosomal RNA (465 nucleotides) under Vreelandella stevensii. RNAcentral describes it as "partial 16S ribosomal RNA". It matches the Rfam family "Bacterial small subunit ribosomal RNA", at positions 338 to 795 of the family's 1533-position model. Lineage: Bacteria; Pseudomonadati; Pseudomonadota; Gammaproteobacteria; Oceanospirillales; Halomonadaceae. The record is from RNAcentral.
CCUACGGGUGGCAGCAGUGGGGAAUAUUGGACAAUGGGCGAAAGCCUGAUCCAGCCAUGCCGCGUGUGUGAAGAAGGCCUUCGGGUUGUAAAGCACUUUCAGUGGGGAAGAAAGCCUUGGGGCUAAUACCCUCGAGGAAGGACAUCACCCACAGAAGAAGCACCGGCUAACUCCGUGCCAGCAGCCGCGGUAAUACGGAGGGUGCGAGCGUUAAUCGGAAUUACUGGGCGUAAAGCGCGCGUAGGCGGUCUGAUAAGCCGGUUGUGAAAGCCCCGGGCUCAACCUGGGAACGGCAUCCGGAACUGGCAGGCUAGAGUGCAGCAGAGGGAGGUAGAAUUCCCGGUGUAGCGGUGAAAUGCGUAGAGAUCGGGAGGAAUACCAGUGGCGAAGGCGGCCUUCUGGACUGACACUGACGCUGAGGUGCGAAAGCGUGGGGAGCAAACAGGAUUAGAUACCCCUGUAGUC